Molecule: ribosomal RNA, 253 nt
Filed under: uncultured bacterium
Lineage: Bacteria
Description: partial 16S ribosomal RNA
Rfam family: Bacterial small subunit ribosomal RNA
Source: RNAcentral
GACAGAGGUGCCGAGCGUUAGGCGGAAUCACUGGGCUUAAAGCGUGUGUAGGCGGACUUCUAAGUACCUUGUGAAAUCCCACGGCUCAACCGUGGAACUGCUUGGUAUACUGGUUGUCUUGAGCCACUUAGGGGCAGUCGGAACAGACGGUGGAGCGGUGAAAUGCGUAGAUAUCGUCUGGAACGCCAAAGGUGAAAACAGGUAGCUGGGAGUGUGCUGACGCUGAGACACGAAAGCCAGGGGAGCGAACGGG